GACGAACGCUGGCGGCGUGCUUAACACAUGCAAGUCGAACGGAAAGGCCCUGCUUUUGUGGGGUGCUCGAGUGGCGAACGGGUGAGUAACACGUGAGUAACCUGCCCUUGACUUUGGGAUAACUUCAGGAAACUGGGGCUAAUAUCGGAUAGGAGCUCCUGCUGCAUGGUGGGGGUUGGAAAGAUUCGGCGGUUGGGGAUGGACUCGCGGCUUAUCAGCUUGUUGGUGGGGUAGUGGCUUACCAAGGCUUUGACGGGUAGCCGGCCUGAGAGGGUGACCGGCGACAUUGGGACUGAGAUACGGACCAGACUCCUACGGGAGGCAGAAGUGGGGAAUAUUGCACAAUGGGCGGAAGCCUGAUGCAGCAACGCCGCGUGCGGGAUGACGGCCUUCGGGGUGUAAACCGCUUUCGCCUGUGACGAAGCGUGAGUGACGGUAAUGGGUAAAGAAGCACCGGCUAACUACGUG
This 468-nucleotide ribosomal RNA is filed under the name uncultured bacterium. RNAcentral's name for it is "partial 16S ribosomal RNA". It matches the Rfam family "Bacterial small subunit ribosomal RNA", at positions 28 to 507 of the family's 1533-position model. The record is from RNAcentral.